This 497-nucleotide ribosomal RNA is filed under the name uncultured bacterium. RNAcentral describes it as "partial 16S ribosomal RNA". It matches the Rfam family "Bacterial small subunit ribosomal RNA", at positions 28 to 507 of the family's 1533-position model. The record is from RNAcentral.
GACGAACGCUGGCGGCGUGCCUAAUACAUGCAAGUUGAGCGCUGAAGGUUGGUACUUGUACCAACUGGAUGAGCAGCGAACGGGUGAGUAACGCGUGGGGAAUCUGCCUUUGAGCAGGGGACAACAUUUGGAAACGAAUGCUAAUACCGCAUAAAAACUUUAAACACAAGUUUUAAGUUUGAAAGAUGCAAUUGCAUCACUCAAAGAUGAUCCCGCGUUGUAUUAGCUAGUUGGUGAGGUAAAGGCUCACCAAGGCGAUGAUACAUAGCCGACCUGAGAGGGUGAUCGGCCACAUUGGGACUGAGACACGGCCCAAACUCCUACGGGAGGCAGCAGUAGGGAAUCUUCGGCAAUGGACGAAAGUCUGACCGAGCAACGCCGCGUGAGUGAAGAAGGUUUUCGGAUCGUAAAACUCUGUUGGUAGAGAAGAACGUUGGUGAGAGUGGAAAGCUCACCAAGUGACGGUAACUACCCAGAAAGGGACGGCUAACUACGUG